This 253-nucleotide ribosomal RNA is filed under the name uncultured bacterium. RNAcentral's name for it is "partial 16S ribosomal RNA". It matches the Rfam family "Bacterial small subunit ribosomal RNA", at positions 524 to 776 of the family's 1533-position model. The record is from RNAcentral.
UACGGAGGGGGCGAGCGUUGUCCGGAAUUAUUGGGCGUAAAGAGCUCGUAGGCGGUCUGUCACGUCGGAUGUGAAAGCCCGGGGCUUAACCCCGGGUCUGCAUUCGAUACGGGCAGACUAGAGUGUGGUAGGGGAGAUCGGAAUUCCUGGUGUAGCGGUGAAAUGCGCAGAUAUCAGGAGGAACACCGGUGGCGAAGGCGGAUCUCUGGGCCAUUACUGACGCUGAGGAGCGAAAGCGUGGGGAGCGAACAGG